UGCAUAUCAAUAAGCGGAGGAAAAGAAACUAACAAGGAUUCCCCUAGUAACUGCGAGUGAAGCGGGAAGAGCUCAAAUUUAAAAUCUGGCGUCCUCUGGUCGUCCGAGUUGUAGUCUGGAGAAGCGUCUUCCGUGUUGGACCGUGUACAAGUCUCUUGGAACAGGGCGUCAUAGAGGGUGAGAAUCCCGUCUUUGACACGGACUACCAAUGCUUUGUGAUGCGCUCUCAAAGAGUCGAGUUGUUUGGGAAUGCAGCUCAAAAUGGGUGGUAAAUUCCAUCUAAAGCUAAAUAUAGGCGAGAGACCGAUAGCGAACAAGUACCGUGAGGGAAAGAUGAAAAGCACUUUGGAAAGAGAGUUAAACAGUACGUGAAAUUGCUGAAAGGGAAACGCUUGAAGUCAGUCAUGUCUGCCAGGACUCAGCCUCGCUUCUGCUUGGUGUACUUUCUGGUUUGAUGGGCCAACAUCAAUUUUGACCGUCGGAGAAAGGCUUUGGGAAUGUGGCACCUUCGGGUGUGUUAUAGCCCUUUGUUGUAUACGGCGGUUGGGAUUGAGGACUGCAGCACGCCUUUAUGGCCGGGGUUCGCCCACGUACGUGCUUAGGAUGUUGGCAUAAU
Molecule: ribosomal RNA, 616 nt
Filed under: uncultured Thelephoraceae
Lineage: Eukaryota; Fungi; Basidiomycota; Agaricomycetes; Thelephorales; Thelephoraceae
Description: eukaryotic LSU rRNA
Rfam family: Eukaryotic large subunit ribosomal RNA
Source: RNAcentral